Potamilus streckersoni is the source of this 74-nucleotide non-coding RNA. NCBI's taxonomy places the organism in Eukaryota, Metazoa, Mollusca, Bivalvia, Unionida, Unionidae. The record is from the annotation of a GenBank genome assembly.
AGCUCUGGUGGCCUAGUGAUUAGAGCGUCCGCCUCGACUGCAGGAGGUCGAGGGUUCGAACCACGGCCGAGUUA